CAACUACUUCUAACCAAUUCCUAACAAGAUAAUUGACUAUCCCUAAUUAUAUUCCUAAAUAACAGAUAUUUAAAUUUGAACUUGUUUAUUUAAAGAGAAAAUUAUUAAAAUGAAAAGUUGGGGUCGCAUCAUCUCCUCCGUCCUCCAAAACAACCUUGCCCUCAAGGUUGGAAAUCCGGAAAUCGCUCCUGAAUUUUGUGCCAAGUUUCCCACGUGGCGUCUUCGAGUGGUAGNCUAUCCCUAAUUAUAUUCCUAAAUAACAGAUAUUUAAAUUUGAACUUGUUUAUUUAAAGAGAAAAUUAUUAAAAUGAAAAGUUGGGGUCGCAUCAUCUCCUCCGUCCUCCAAAAAGACAACCUUGCCCUCAAGGUUGGAAAUCCGGAAAUCGCUCCUGAAUUUUGUGCCAAGUUUCCCACGUGGCGUCUUCGAGUGGUAGAUGAGCCCACUGGACAAGUACCUUGGUAACAGCACGAUUCUUAUGUUUCUCCAUUCGGCGAUCGAGAAUAGCAAUAGGUUCAAUCUUUAGCACUCCAUCUGAGAUGUCUGGUAAUUGGGAUGCCACUAUGUCGUCGGAGCCUACCUUCUUCUUUAAGCAUGAGACAUGAAAAACUGGAUGAAUUUUUGAUCCGUGCGGUAACUCCAAUUUGUAGGCGACAGACCCAAUUCUCUCUAAAACUUUAUAUGGACCAUAAAAUCUUGGAGAAAGCUUGCGAUUGGCACGAAUAGUCACCGAAGCUUGUCGAUACGGUUGAAGCCUAAGAUACACCAUAUCACCAAUUUCAAACACCCGCUCUGUGCGAUGUUUGUCAGCUUGUUGCUUCAUUCGAACUUGGGCGGAUUCGAGAUUUUCCUUCAAAAGGCGCAAGAUUCUAUCCCGAUCUUGUAAUUCCACUUCGACAUGAUGAACAUUAGUAGUCCCGGUAAUAUACGAGAGUAGAGUAGGGGGUCGCUGACCAUAAACCGCCUCAUAUAGAGUUAUCUGAGUAGAAGAAUGGAAGGUAGUAUUGUACCACCAUUCCGCCCAAGGAAGCCAUUUGGUCCAAUCUUUAGGUCGUUGCCCUGAGAGGCAUCGGAGAUACGUCUCCAAACAUCGGUUGACUACCUUUGUUUGACCAUCCGAUUGAGGGUGAUAGGCUGAACUCAUGCAUAAUUUAGUUCCUUGAAGACGAAACAAUUCCUUCCAAAAAGCACUAGUGAAUAUCGGAUCACGAUCACUUACAAUUGAAGUUGGCAUACCAUGAAAUUUAAAAACAUGCUCGACAAACAAGUGUGCUAUUUGGGACGCAGUGUAUGGAUGAGCCACCGGAAUAAAAUGAGCAUACUUGGAGAGCCGGUCAACUACAACCAAUAUAGUACUCCUCCCCAAUGAAGUAGGUAACCCAUCAAUGAAGUCCAUCGAAAUGUCAGCCCAAAUACGCUCAGGAAUCGAUAGAGGUUGGAGAAGCCCAGGAGUGGGAAUUGUUUCGUUCUUGUUUCUUUGGCAGAUAUCGCAAGACGCAACAUGAUUCUUUAUGUCUUUCUUCAUCCUCUUCCAGUAGAAGGUCUUGAGAGCUCUCUUAUAUGUCUUACGAAACCCCGAAUGGCCUGCUUCUGGCGAAUCAUGAAGAUAAUGCAGAAUCUCCCUUCGCCAUUUAGAUUCAGGACCUAAAACCACCCGUUGUUUGUAGCGAAGAAGUCCUCCCUCAUAGGUAUAAUGAGGUAGACCUGAACUCUGGACUUGUCGAAUAAUGGCUUGUAAUGAUUCGUCUGCAGCCGUGUCAACCUUAAUUUGUUCCACCCAUGUUGGAGUAGGAUAGGAGAUCGCAAUUAACUCUGCCUCGUCCUGACGUGAUAAUGCAUCAGCAACAGAAUUAUCAACUCCCUUUUUAUAACGAAUUUCAUAAUCAUACCCGAGCAGUUUAGCGGUCCACUUCUGCUGCAUCUCUGAAGAAACCCUUUGCUCCAUCAAAUAUUUAAGACUACGAUGGUCGGUAUAGAUAAUGAAAUGCCGUCCUAACAAGUAUUGGCGCCACUUGUUGACCGCGUGCAAUAUCGCCAUCAUUUCCUUUUCGUACGUCGGGAGAGCACGAUGUUUUUCAGAAAGAGCCUUGCUAGUAAAGGCUAUUGGUCGACCUUCUUGCAUUAGAACACCACCAAUCCCAAUACCAGAAGCAUCA
This 2154-nucleotide long non-coding RNA is filed under the name Ananas comosus (pineapple). RNAcentral's name for it is "long non-coding RNA (ACOM_LNC041846)". The record is from RNAcentral. Lineage: Eukaryota; Viridiplantae; Streptophyta; Magnoliopsida; Poales; Bromeliaceae.